CAAUGUCGUGGGCAUAUGUCCUGGUCACCCUUGGGCUGUCUCGGGACCACGUUGGGCUACUCCUGGGCCAUGCUAAAGGAGUCGUGGCACGUAUUGGCGCAAUUUUGCGGGUGAUUUUUGGGGUCAAAGCUUCACAUGUGACAUCAGGCUUACUUCUUUUCAUUUCUUUCUUUUUUCUUCUUCUUUCUUUUUCCCGUUUUAAAUUUUAUCUCUAAACCAAACUCCAACUAACUCUAAUUUAUGUUUAGGAACUUGUAAUUUUGGAGUACAAUAUAAGUAUAAUUGUUUGUGUUAUAUUGUUUUUAUUAUUAUUAUUACUAUUAAAAAUAGCCAAAUUAAUUAAAAUAUUUAUAAGGUAUUUUAAAAUUUGAUAUUCGAUAGAUCGAUCAAUGUCACUAAACAUAUAAGGGCUUAUCAAUAUCUAUUAUUAAUAUAAUCUAGUAAAUAUUUUGUCGAAUUUAUUAUUUGUGACAGUUUUUUUCUAUUCUUUUUUACAUAUAUUCAAUAUAUAAAAUAUCAAUUUUUUGAAAAUUUCAUAUAGGAUUAUUAACAAGUUUAACAAAUAGAUAAAAUGAUUUUCAACAUUAUUCUAAUACUAUGCUUUAAAUUAUGUAAGAGAUAAAUCUCUAUAAAUCAUGUGAUGAAUUAUUUUAGAAUGGAAAACAAUACAAAAAUGUGAGUGUUGAGCAAGAAAUUUUGACCAAUUAAAUUACGUCACAUCAUCACAGUAAAUAAUGAUGAUUAUACUUUUGUUUGAGUUUGGAUAAUUAAGUUACUCAACCCAACCCAAUUCAGAUCCAACAAAACAAAUGGGCUCAAGCCCAAGUCCAAGAAUCAAAUGGGCCCAAGUCCAAACUCAUCUCGCAAAUGGGCUCAAAUCCAAGCCCAACAAGCAAAUGGGCUCAAGUUCAAGCCCAGUAAGCAAAUGACCCCAAGUUCACCUAAAGCCCAUGAAAUGUCUAUAAAUAGAGACCACUAUCAUUCAUUUUAAAAGGGGUCUUUGGUUGAAAGAAGAAUUGAAGCUCUGAAGAAUUGAAGAUUCAAACUUCUACAAGCUCUCAAGACGUGCAAGUUCGUAUCAACUUCGAGAUCAACAACUUCUGAAAGAUUGAAGACUUGGAAGAUUAAACUUUUCUUGGAUUCCAGAAGAUCGAAGUUCAAAUCAACGUGCAACUACAACAUCCUGAAGAUCGAAGAUCAAAAAGUUCUAAGUUUUAACUUGUAUUCGAGAAAAAACAUCAAAAGAGUAAAUACUAGAGGUUGUAUUCACAAUAUUCUUUAAUAUAUCAAGUUCAACUCCACGAAAUACAUUUCUUCAAAAUCUCGUGUGAACAGUUUGACACGUCCAGUGAGACAAUCUCUACCUUUCAUCUCUUUCUCUUUUGAAGAACAUCUAAAGAAAUCAUGUCGAUUGACG
Molecule: long non-coding RNA, 1417 nt
Filed under: Cucumis sativus (cucumber)
Lineage: Eukaryota; Viridiplantae; Streptophyta; Magnoliopsida; Cucurbitales; Cucurbitaceae
Description: long non-coding RNA (CSAT_LNC003012)
Source: RNAcentral